AUUGAACGCUGGCGGCAUGCCUUACACAUGCAAGUCGAACGGUAACAGCACUUCGGUGGCUGACGAGUGGCGAACGGGUGAGUAAUACAUCGGAACGUGCCGAGAGUGGGGGAUAACGCAGCGAAAGCUGUGCUAAUACCGCAUACGAUCUACGGAUGAAAGCAGGGGACCGCAAGGCCUUGCGCUCAUGGAGCGGCCGAUGGCAGAUUAGGUAGUUGGUGGGAUAAAAGCUUACCAAGCCGACGAUCUGUAGCUGGUCUGAGAGGACGACCAGCCACACUGGGACUGAGACACGGCCCAGACUCCUACGGGAGGCAGCAGUGGGGAAUUUUGGACAAUGGGGGAAACCCUGAUCCAGCCAUGCCGCGUGCAGGAUGAAGGCCUUCGGGUUGUAAACUGCUUUUGUACGGAACGAAAAGGUCUUUUCUAAUAAAGAAGACUCAUGACGGUACCGUAAGAAUAAGCACCGGCUAACUACGUG
Molecule: ribosomal RNA, 481 nt
Filed under: uncultured bacterium
Lineage: Bacteria
Description: bacterial SSU rRNA
Rfam family: Bacterial small subunit ribosomal RNA
Source: RNAcentral